GAUGAAGAACGCAGCGAAAUGCGAUAAGUAAUGUGAAUUGCAGAAUUCAGUGAAUCAUCGAAUCUUGAACGCACAUUGCGCCCAUUAGUAUUCUAGUGGGCAUGCCUGUUCGAGCGUCAUUUCAACCCUUAAGCCUAGCUUAGUAUUGGGAAUCGACUUUACUGUCGUUCCUCAAAUUCAACGGCGGAUUUAUAGCAAUCUCUGAACGUAGUAAUUUUUUUCCUCGUUUUUGAAAUACUAUAAACCUCAGCCGCUAAACCCCCAAUUUUUUUAUGGUUGACCUCGGAUCAGGUAGGAAUACCCGCUGAACUUAAGCAUAUCAAUAAGCGGAGGA
Molecule: unclassified non-coding RNA, 334 nt
Filed under: soil metagenome
Description: partial contains 5.8S ribosomal RNA, internal transcribed spacer 2, and large subunit ribosomal RNA
Rfam family: 5.8S ribosomal RNA (bases 1-119)
Source: RNAcentral